RNAcentral lists this ribosomal RNA (1427 nucleotides) under Centrorhynchus nahuelhuapensis. RNAcentral's name for it is "Centrorhynchus sp. n. MS-2019 partial large subunit ribosomal RNA". It matches the Rfam family "Eukaryotic large subunit ribosomal RNA", at positions 80 to 1276 of the family's 3401-position model. The record is from RNAcentral. Lineage: Eukaryota; Metazoa; Acanthocephala; Palaeacanthocephala; Polymorphida; Centrorhynchidae.
UCAGUAACGGCGAGUGAAUACAGGUAGACCAUCAUCGAAUCGUGUCAUGGUGUGUGACGCGAGGUGUGAUGUUGCGGCUUUGCUAUGAAGGAUGAUUGGCGUGGUGUAAUUCCGGUUGAAAUUGUGUGAUCCGAAGAGGGUGCUAGGCCCUUGAGACUGCUAUUUUAAACCGAUGGCAUUGACCGCUGAGUAGAAUUGCUUGAGAUCGCAGUUCGAAUACGUGUGAUGAAUCCCACACAAGUCUAGAUGUAUAUUUGCGAGACCGAUAGCGAACAAGUAUCGUGAGGAAAAGUUGAAAAGUACUCUGGAAAGAGAGUUCACAAGUGCGUGAAACUGGACACUGCAAAGCGAAUAUCUGUGCAUUUUACGAUACGGUUAGCUGUCUUCGACGCGUGGCGCCACCAGCUGGGGAUCAGGGCUUUUGUUCCUGGUGCCAUGUUCUGCUCGCGAUUUGCCCGCGCGGAGUUGUACUUGCCACCGUAUUUCUGGCUGUUCGGCAGGUGAGCAAGCUAAAGAGCGUCAAGAGGGGAGGAAUGUUUCGCGCCGCCCUCUGCGUUAAUGGCGCUCCGACUGAUUGUGCGUGGUGUUAAAUUCACAUGGCCGUUUUAUCAUGCUUGCCUGCUGCGGACGACGUCGCAGUGCGCCGGGGCGCGGUUUGUGUGUUCACAAGCACUGCUGUCAAUCUGGCUACAUGUGCCAGUGUGGUCUGCACUGCCGCCGUUUCUUCCCGGCUUGCGACUGAGGCAGCUGACGUGUGCUCAGUAUUCGAACCGUCUUGAAACACGGACUAAGGAGUUCAACUUGAACGCAAGUCGUUUUCAAAUGAUAAUUUUGAAGGCGAAGUGAAAUCGAUCCGAUGAAGGAGUGUCAACUGGUCGGGACGACUGUUGUAAGAACGACCAAAGACAAGCGUUGUGGGUAGCACAGAUGACACAGCUGCUGACCGCAUGCGAGCGUUCAUGAUGAGACCCGAAAGAUGGUGAACUAUGCCUGAGUAGAACGAAGCCAGGAGAAAUCCUGGUGGAAGUUCGUAGCGGUUUUGACGUGCAAAUCAAUCGUAAGACUUGGGUAUAGGGGCGAAAGACUAAUCGAACCGUCUAGUUGCUGGUUCCCUCCGAAGUUUCCUUCAGGAAAGCUGGCGUGAUUUAGUUUUACCCGGUAAAGCUAAUGACUGGAGGGAUCGGAGUUGUAAUAUCUUUGACCUACUUUCAAACUUAAAACGGAUAAGAUAUUGAUCGCUGCUUUAGCGAGCGACAAGUGCAAAUGACACGCGCCAAGUGGGCCAGUUUUGGUAAGCAGAUCGGGCGCUGUGGGAUGAACUGAACGGCGAGCUAUGGCGCCCGAUACACUUCUCAGAAGACACCAUGAAAGGUGUUAGUUGAUAAUGACAGCAGGACGGUGGCCAUGGAAGUCGGUAUCCGCUAAGG